UACGAAGGGUGCAAGCGAUACUCGGACUUACUGGGCGUAAAGCGUGCGUAGGUGGUUUGUUAAGUCCGAUGUGAAAGCCCUGGGCUCAACCUGGGAAUGGCAUUGGAAACUGGCGGGCUAGAGUGCGGUAGAGGGUAGUGGAAUUCCCGGUGUAGCAGUGAAAUGCGUAGAGCUCGGGAGGAACACCAGUGGCGAAGGCGGCUACCUGGACCAGCACUGACACUGAGGCACGAAAGCGUGGGGAGCAAACAGG
RNAcentral lists this ribosomal RNA (253 nucleotides) under uncultured bacterium. Its description in RNAcentral is "partial 16S ribosomal RNA". It matches the Rfam family "Bacterial small subunit ribosomal RNA", at positions 524 to 776 of the family's 1533-position model. The record is from RNAcentral.